Molecule: ribosomal RNA, 286 nt
Filed under: Vibrio parahaemolyticus
Lineage: Bacteria; Pseudomonadati; Pseudomonadota; Gammaproteobacteria; Vibrionales; Vibrionaceae
Description: partial 23S ribosomal RNA
Rfam family: Bacterial large subunit ribosomal RNA
Source: RNAcentral
GCGGCCGUAACUAUAACGGUCCUAAGGUAGCGAAAUUCCUUGUCGGGUAAGUUCCGACCUGCACGAAUGGCGUAAUGAUGGCCACGCUGUCUCCACCCGAGACUCAGUGAAAUUGAAAUCGCUGUGAAGAUGCAGUGUACCCGCGGCUAGACGGAAAGACCCCGUGAACCUUUACUACAGCUUGGCACUGAACAUUGACCCUACAUGUGUAGGAUAGGUGGGAGGCUUUGAAGCACGUACGCCAGUAUGUGUGGAGCCGUCCUUGAAAUACCACCCUUGUAGUGUU